CAAUGUGAAGACGAUCUGGCUUCAGCAUCAGUCACGCCAUUGGUCACGCCGUUGGUCACCUGGGGUCAGUUCAGCUGAUGUGACUGGCUAGAUGACCAGCCUCUUUUUCCUCUUUUCCCAUCCCAUGUGCAAGCAGAGCUGUGUGCUCAGUCACAAAGGAUGACCUUCCCUGAUGGAGGACCAUUCUUUAGUCAAGGGUAUAUUAGAAGCUCCAUUUACCUGCUAGAAUUUCUAAGCAACCCCUCAAGAAAUUCAUGCUCCUGUCUCUCACCCCAACCCCACCAACAUUGUUACUGU
Molecule: small RNA, 297 nt
Filed under: Meriones unguiculatus (Mongolian gerbil)
Lineage: Eukaryota; Metazoa; Chordata; Mammalia; Rodentia; Muridae
Description: 7SK RNA (ENSMUGG00000010658.1)
Rfam family: 7SK RNA
About the family: 7SK was discovered as an abundant small nuclear RNA in the mid-70s but a possible function has only recently been suggested. Two independent studies have found that 7SK RNA binds the CDK9/cyclin T complex (known as elongation factor P-TEFb).
Source: RNAcentral